RNAcentral lists this signal recognition particle RNA (300 nucleotides) under Aotus nancymaae (Ma's night monkey). RNAcentral describes it as "Metazoan signal recognition particle RNA (ENSANAG00000009573.1)". It matches the Rfam family "Metazoan signal recognition particle RNA". From Rfam's summary of the family: The signal recognition particle (SRP) is a universally conserved ribonucleoprotein. The record is from RNAcentral. Lineage: Eukaryota; Metazoa; Chordata; Mammalia; Primates; Aotidae.
GCCGGGCGCGGUGGCAUGUGCCUGUAGUCCCAGCUACUCGGGAGGCUGAGGUGGGAGGAUCGCUUGAGCCCAGGAGUUCUGGGCCAUAGUGCGCUAUGCUGAUCAGGUGUCCGCACUAAGUUCGGCAUCAAUAUGGUGACCUCCCGGGAGCGGGGGAACAACAGGUUGCCUAAGGAGGGGUGAACUGGCCCAGGUCGGAAACGGAGCAGGUCAAAACUCCCAUGCUGAUCAGUAGUGGGAUUGCGCCUGUGAAUAGCCAUUGCCCUCCAGCCUGGGCAAUAUAGUGAGACCCCCAUCUCU